Molecule: ribosomal RNA, 660 nt
Filed under: Clavibacter michiganensis subsp. michiganensis
Lineage: Bacteria; Bacillati; Actinomycetota; Actinomycetes; Micrococcales; Microbacteriaceae
Description: bacterial SSU rRNA
Rfam family: Bacterial small subunit ribosomal RNA
Source: RNAcentral
CCCUGGUAGUCCAUGCCGUAAAACGUUGGAACUAGAUUGGGGACCAUUCCACGGUUUCCGUGUCGCAGCUAACGCAUUAAGUUCCCCCCNUGGGGAGUACGNCCGCAAGGCUAAAACUCAAAGGAAUUGACGGGGGCCCGCACAAGCGGCGGAGCAUGCGGAUUAAUUCGAUGCAACGCGAAGAACCUUACCAAGGCUUGACAUAUACCGGAAACAUGCAGAAAUGUGUGCCCCGCAAGGUCGGUAUACAGGUGGUGCAUGGUUGUCGUCAGCUCGUGUCGUGAGAUGUUGGGUUAAGUCCCGCAACGAGCGCAACCCUCGUUCUAUGUUGCCAGCACGUAAUGGUGGGAACUCAUAGGAGACUGCCGGGGUCAACUCGGAGGAAGGUGGGGAUGACGUCAAAUCAUCAUGCCCCUUAUGUCUUGGGCUUCACGCAUGCUACAAUGGCCGGUACAAAGGGCUGCGAUACCGUAAGGUGGAGCGAAUCCCAAAAAGCCGGUCUCAGUUCGGAUUGAGGUCUGCAACUCGACCUCAUGAAGUCGGAGUCGCUAGUAAUCGCAGAUCAGCAACGCUGCGGUGAAUACGUUCCCGGGCCUUGUACACACCGCCCGUCAAGUCAUGAAAGUCGGUAACACCCGAAGCCAGUGGCCUAACCGCAAG